RNAcentral lists this ribosomal RNA (500 nucleotides) under uncultured bacterium. RNAcentral's name for it is "partial 16S ribosomal RNA". It matches the Rfam family "Bacterial small subunit ribosomal RNA", at positions 29 to 523 of the family's 1533-position model. The record is from RNAcentral.
AUUGAACGCUGGCGGCAUGCUUUACACAUGCAAGUCGAACGGCAGCACGGGCUUCGGCCUGGUGGCGAGUGGCGAACGGGUGAGUAAUACAUCGGAACGUACCCAGUAGUGGGGGAUAGCCCGGCGAAAGCCGGAUUAAUACCGCAUAUGCCCUGAGGGGGAAAGCGGGGGACCGAAAGGCCUCGCGCUAUUGGAGCGGCCGAUGGCUGAUUAGCUAGUUGGUGGGGUAAAGGCCUACCAAGGCGACGAGCAGUAGCUGGUCUGAGAGGACGACCAGCCACACUGGGACUGAGGCACGGCCCAGACUCCGACGGGAGGCAGCAGUGGGGAAUUUUGGACAAGGGGCGAAAGCCUGAUCCAGCAAUGCCGCGUGUGCGAAGAAGGCCUUCGGGUUGUAAAGCACUUUUGUUUGGAAAGAAAAGGUUUGGGUUAAUACCCUGGACUGAUGACGGUACCAAUCGAAUAAGCACCGGCUAACUACGUGCCAGCCGCCGCAGUAA